This 445-nucleotide unclassified non-coding RNA is filed under the name Hevea brasiliensis (rubber tree). Lineage: Eukaryota; Viridiplantae; Streptophyta; Magnoliopsida; Malpighiales; Euphorbiaceae. The record is from RNAcentral.
AAAUUGUAAUUUGAUCAACACUCUUUCCAAAUUUAACACUUACCAUUGACCGUCACCAAAGAGAGAGAUUAAGGAGAUUGACAUAGUACAAUAGCAACAAAGAUUAAAAUAUAUAAGGCCAACUAUGCUUUUAUAACUCCAAGGUCAAUUAAUUAGAUAAUUUGUUCUAAUAAUGACAGUGGAUUAAAUAUAAAAUUAACAAAAUCUGCAAAAGCAAUAAAAUGUAUAAAAAAACUUAAUGCAGUUAAGAGAUACCAAUAGCAAGAAUACCAGGAUAAUCUGCAUAUGAACAACCAAGACUGUAACAGUAGGAAUUAAGCUUUGUUGUAGAAUAGGAAGUUGUAUAGGAAUUAAAUACUUAAUUUUAGGGAUAGAUAUUAGCUUCCUAAUUAGAUUAGCUUGAUUUGUAUAUAAAUAUGUAUUUUUCUUUUGAAACAAAUCAAGA